Molecule: long non-coding RNA, 2294 nt
Filed under: Oncorhynchus kisutch (coho salmon)
Lineage: Eukaryota; Metazoa; Chordata; Actinopteri; Salmoniformes; Salmonidae
Description: lncRNA (ENSOKIG00005016616.1)
Source: RNAcentral
CAUUGAUGGUGAUGCUUUCCAGACAAUGAGUGAUGCUGGAUUUCCUGGGUUACGCAAAUAGCCUAGUACUCAGACUAGGUAGAGAGAUCUGAAAGCCUAUCUUUAGGUUUUCCGUGGUUUGAGGGGUUCGAAGUGUUGAGUUUAGGUAGGCCUACGCAAUGUUUUCCUUUCAAAAAUGCAUUAUUGGUCAAAAUUCUGAGUUUGUCAAGACUGGUAUAAUCGUUUGUUUGUGAUUCUAGGAGUGAUUCCAGCCAAUGGGAAGGUGGAGGUGACCGUCACAUUCAGACCGUUCCAGUAUGACACGUCCCAGGUCACUCUACAGGUGGUCAUCUCCCAGUUCAACUCCAAACCCUAUGUCUGCAGCCUCAGCGGGUCCUCCUCGCCCCACCUGACACUUACGUAUGCCAGAACCAUUUUGAAAUGUUAAAGUCAACAGGAGAAAGACAUGGGACACGCAAAAUACGUUUUGUUUGUUGACAGUCAAGGGCCUCCACCUGUCUCCUUGAGACAGCCUCUGACCAAAACCAAGCAGAGGUCAAUUCGGACACCUGAAAAGUCAAAGGCACCGGUGGGCACGCCUUCCUUUCGCAUGUACUCCAGCAGUCAUCUGGAGAUCAGGCAGAGAGCUCUGAGGCUCUUCCAGCAGGCAGCCCGCAAGGAACAGUACUUAGCCCUCUCUCUUUCACUCCAUUGGCCUUAAAUUAGGCCCUAUAGGCAUCGAGUGCCUCAUCCCAUCCCACUCAACACAACGGUUUCACUCACAAACCACAAGCCAAAACCCUGUGAGGCGGUGUGUAUACUCUCUAUGAUAACGAUCUUAAGACAUGUCAUAAAAUUGUGUAGUAGUCCCUGUCGUAUGUCUGGGAUGGGAAUUCCUAAGGUAAGCUAUAUUUAAUGAUGUAGCCUACAUUCAACCAAAUGACAAACUGUAAAACCAGUAUGUUUUACAAUAUCUCAUAGGCAGUUGGAAAGCUGACAAUGUCCAAGUCCUGGUUCUCUUUAAUAUCAAAUGUAUCCCAAUGCACACUUGAAAACAUUUUUGGGUUUUGUAUUUAUAUCAUUCUCUAUUUGAGCAAGAAACAUGUACCGUAACAGAUGUCAUACAGCAGGAAGAGGGUUUACUCACAAACAUGCAUAACCUUUCGAAACAACACAACCUCUGAGUGCACCAUGUGUUUCAGGUGGUGAUUCAAUGUCGUGUGAACAACAGACUGGUCUCGUUGAGGCAGCUGACUCAAAGCUUGAAGCGCCUGUCCACAGGAGUAAGAGGUAUUGCACUGUUGAGACCCCACAGGGAAAACGUGUUCUCUAUUUGACACAGGUAUAUGAUCAAAAUACAUACCUGAACGAUGCAGCACACGCAUUUGUUGUGCCAAAAUUUAAAAAAAUAUAUUUUCAAAUGAUGUGAACCCCCAAGUCAUUUUGAUGUUGGAAGCAAGCAAGAUGCAUGCAUUUUUCUGUUUUCAGUUGAGGAGGAGCCCCUUCAUCCCCUGAAGAUCUCACCAGACAACGUGAUUCCUUUCACAUUCUGAUCAACUGGUAAAUGCAGUGCACUUUGAUCAAAAGCCAUCUUGUUCUUGCGUGGACUACUUGAAAAGAAGGGACACUGAUUUGAUUUGCCCAGUAGCUUGUAUUCAUUAAAAUGAUUUAGUGAAAAUGACCAUAACGUCGUGUUGGCCUUGUACUUUAUGCCCAGGCUCCCAAUGCAUGGGGUGCCGUCCAUGUUAGGCCCAUUGAGGCCCUGGUCAAAUGACACACUCCGUUCAUCAAACUGAAGGUACGUUUACAUGAGAGUUCUUUGCCUGAAUAAAGAAUCGUUGAUGUUGCUUGUACAUUGUAGCACUAACAACGAGCUAUGUUUGCCUUUCAGUCACUCAUGUAAACGUACCUGCUGAUGGUGACAGGGAUUUUGCUUAGAAAUUGUACAGUAACGUGCUCACUUGUGUCACAUUACGUGUGUUGUUUUUCAAGGUUCCCCAGCACUACAAGUUAAUGGGGUACCAGCCUGUUUCGGCCUUUGAGGCUGCCGCUAGCUACAUCCCCCCCCAUCCCAGCCCAGGACGCUAUGCACUGGGACACAGGUGAGCCAAGAGACUCACCACCAACACUGUGGGAGACUUACGUAGGUGGUGUGCAAUACACAGAUCCAUUUAUACAAAGGAAAUACAUCACAGUCAAUCCUUUAAGCCUUUUAUGAGACGAUGUACACGUGAUAUAACAUAAACAAUGAUGUGAAUCAGCAAUAACCCUGAGAACUCUGAAUGGUUUGAUUGAUUACUUAAUGGUGUCACUGU